GGGGAUGUAGCACAAAUGGUAGGGCACUCGGUUUGCAUGCGAGAGGUAUGGGUUCGAUACCCUGAAUCUCCA
Molecule: transfer RNA, 72 nt
Filed under: Nelumbo nucifera (sacred lotus)
Lineage: Eukaryota; Viridiplantae; Streptophyta; Magnoliopsida; Proteales; Nelumbonaceae
Rfam family: tRNA
About the family: Transfer RNA (tRNA) molecules are approximately 80 nucleotides in length.
Source: Rfam by way of RNAcentral